RNAcentral lists this long non-coding RNA (411 nucleotides) under Manihot esculenta (cassava). RNAcentral describes it as "long non-coding RNA (MESC_LNC007997)". The record is from RNAcentral. Lineage: Eukaryota; Viridiplantae; Streptophyta; Magnoliopsida; Malpighiales; Euphorbiaceae.
AAAUUGCUCUCUCUGGUGGCAACUAAACUGGUUUCUGAAGGAUAUCAGAAUAUUGAGUUAACAACUUUUGCAUGUCUGGAUGUAAUCCUUCAAGCAAAACAGAGGAAGAGGAUUCCAUACAGAUAGCAAAAACUGAACCUUGUUGCCGCAGUUCCUUGGUCAUGGCUUUCAAGGAGAGAGGUUCAAUCGGCUUACUCCGAAUUCCCUGUAAGUGUCUCUGCUGGCCGUCCCAUUUGAAAUCCAUCGUCAGAUCCUUCCAGUUACAAGCAACAGUUCCCAGCCGCUGCAACCAUUGUACUCCCAAAACAACAUCUAGACCCAUUAUUGGCAGAGAAAAGAAAGUAGCCAGAAAGGGUAUACCUUGAAGCGAGAAGGGAAUAUUGUUGAAUUUACUACUGCAAAGUAAUGGAG